RNAcentral lists this ribosomal RNA (938 nucleotides) under uncultured bacterium. RNAcentral describes it as "bacterial SSU rRNA". It matches the Rfam family "Bacterial small subunit ribosomal RNA", at positions 8 to 937 of the family's 1533-position model. The record is from RNAcentral.
AGAGUUUGAUCCUGGCUCAGGAUGAACGCUAGCUACAGGCUUAACACAUGCAAGUCGAGGGGAAACGAUAGAGAAAGCUUGCUUUUUCUAGGCGUCGACCGGCGCACGGGUGAGUAACGCGUAUCCAACCUGCCCACCACUUGGGGAUAACCUUGCGAAAGUAAGACUAAUACCCAAUGAUAUCUCAAGAAGACAUCUGAAUGAGAUUAAAGAUUCAUCGGUGAUGGAUGGGGAUGCGUCUGAUUAGCUUGUUGGCGGGGUAACGGCCCACCAAGGCGACGAUCAGUAGGGGUUCUGAGAGGAAGGUCCCCCACAUUGGAACUGAGACACGGUCCAAACUCCUACGGGAGGCAGCAGUGAGGAAUAUUGGUCAAUGGACGAGAGCCUGAACCAGCCAAGUAGCGUGCAGGAUGACGGCCCUAUGGGUUGUAAACUGCUUUUAUAAGGGAAUAAAGUGAGUCUCGUGAGACUUUUUGCAUGUACCUUAUGAAUAAGGACCGGCUAAUUCCGUGCCAGCAGCCGCGGUAAUACGGAAGGUCCGGGCGUUAUCCGGAUUUAUUGGGUUUAAAGGGAGCGUAGGCCGGAGAUUAAGCGUGUUGUGAAAUGUAGACGCUCAACGUCUGCACUGCAGCGCGAACUGGUUUCCUUGAGUACGCACAAAGUGGGCGGAAUUCGUGGUGUAGCGGUGAAAUGCUUAGAUAUCACGAAGAACUCCGAUUGCGAAGGCAGCUCACUGGAGCGCAACUGACGCUGAAGCUCGAAAGUGCGGGUAUCGAACAGGAUUAGAUACCCUGGUAGUCCGCACGGUAAACGAUGGAUGCCCGCUGUUGGUCUGAAUAGGUCAGCGGCCAAGCGAAAGCAUUAAGCAUCCCACCUGGGGAGUACGCCGGCAACGGUGAAACUCAAAUGAAUUGACGGAAGGGCGAAUCGCGGCCGCU